RNAcentral lists this long non-coding RNA (336 nucleotides) under Bos grunniens (domestic yak). RNAcentral describes it as "lncRNA (ENSBGRG00000008544.1)". Lineage: Eukaryota; Metazoa; Chordata; Mammalia; Artiodactyla; Bovidae. The record is from RNAcentral.
AUGCCAGCACUCCACUCCCAGGACUGUUGCAUUCAGUGCCCCGACCCCACAGCAGGCUGCUGGAGACUCCUGGACACUCACAGGGAAAGAGACAGGAACAGCAACAGGAGACCUCAGAGAGACAGACGUGCCCCAAACUAUACCCUCGGGGGAGCUGCCUGCAGGGAUCUGGUUAAGAACAGAAUCCUGAGCUCCUUGAGCGAUUCGUGCCAGGGUUGGAGACCAGUGCCUCUGAACAGGAAAAAAAGAGCUGCAGAGAGACCCGGCUAUGAUCACAGAGUCCACAGCUCUGUCAAAGUCUCUGAGGGCUUCAGAAGCAACAAAGCUGAUCUCUAA